This 105-nucleotide microRNA precursor is filed under the name Canis lupus familiaris (dog). Its description in RNAcentral is "mir-8834 microRNA precursor family". It matches the Rfam family "mir-8834 microRNA precursor family". RNAcentral also lists the same sequence under 1 other name. The record is from Rfam by way of RNAcentral. Lineage: Eukaryota; Metazoa; Chordata; Mammalia; Carnivora; Canidae.
AGGAGGAACAACCCCAGUGGCGGGGCCAGCUCUGGAGCCCUGGAUUCAGCCCCCGCAGUAGCUACAGAGCUCUCCGUCUGCAGGGCCUGGAGGCUCCGGGGCGGG